GUGGGGAAUAUUGGGCAAUGGGCGAAAGCCUGACCCAGCAACGCCGCGUGAAGGAAGAAGGUCUUCGGAUCGUAAACUUCUAUCCUUGGUGAAGAUAAUGACGGUAGCCGAGAAGGAAGCCCCGGCUAACUACGUGCCAGCAGCCGCGGUAAUACGUAGGGGGCAAGCGUUGUCCGGAAUGAUUGGGCGUAAAGGGCGCGUAGGCGGCCUGGUAAGUCUGGAGUGAAAGUCCUGCUUUUAAGGUGGGAAUUGCUUUGGAUACUGUCGGGCUUGAGUGCAGGAGAGGUAAGUGGAAUUCCCGGUGUAGCGGUGAAAUGCGUAGAGAUCGGGAGGAACACCAGUGGCGAAGGCGACGAUCUGGCCUGCAACUGACGCUCAGUCCCGAAAGCGUGGGGAGCAAAUAGGAUUAGAAACCCUAGUAGUCC
RNAcentral lists this ribosomal RNA (425 nucleotides) under uncultured bacterium. RNAcentral's name for it is "partial 16S ribosomal RNA". It matches the Rfam family "Bacterial small subunit ribosomal RNA", at positions 354 to 796 of the family's 1533-position model. The record is from RNAcentral.